UGGGGAAUCUUGGACAAUGGGGGCAACCCUGAUCCAGCCAUGCCGCGUGAGUGAUGAAGGCCUUAGGGUCGUAAAGCUCUUUCGCCUGUGAAGAUAAUGACGGUAGCAGGUAAAGAAACCCCGGCUAACUCCGUGCCAGCAGCCGCGGUAAUACGGAGGGGGUUAGCGUUGUUCGGAAUUACUGGCGUAAAGCGCACGUAGGCGGACCAGAAAGUUGGGGGUGAAAUCCCGGGGGCUCAACCCCGGAACUGCCUCCAAAACUAUUGGUCUAGAGUUCGAGAGAGGUGAGUGGAAUUCCAAGUGUAGAGGUGAAAUUCGUAGAUAUUUGGAGGAACACCAGUGGCGAAGGCGGCUCACUGGCUCGAUACUGACGCUGAGGUGCGAAAGUGUGGGGAGCAAACAGGAUUAGAUACCCUGGUAGUCCACACCGUAAAACGAUGAAUGCCAGUCGUCGGGUAGCAUGCUAUUCGGUGACACA
RNAcentral lists this ribosomal RNA (478 nucleotides) under uncultured bacterium. RNAcentral describes it as "bacterial SSU rRNA". It matches the Rfam family "Bacterial small subunit ribosomal RNA", at positions 355 to 850 of the family's 1533-position model. The record is from RNAcentral.